This 1457-nucleotide long non-coding RNA is filed under the name Calidris pugnax (ruff). RNAcentral describes it as "lncRNA (ENSCPUG00000010540.1)". The record is from RNAcentral. Lineage: Eukaryota; Metazoa; Chordata; Aves; Charadriiformes; Scolopacidae.
AAAACAUGGUGACACAGCAAAAAACGGGAGAAUUAGAAGGUUCAUUUUUUGUUUCUGAUGCCGCCCGGUUCUAAGGGACCGCAGAGGUUUCUAACAGACUGUGGGUAUGGCCUCAUCCUUCACCCAGAAGAAGAAAACCAUGGAAGGCUGCUUGGAGGAGCAGAGCUCUCGCGUAAAUGCCAUAUAUCUGGUCCAGAAGAGGAAACGUUGGUUAUUGCCUGCCAACAAAGAUUGCUUUUCAUCUGCCAUGCCAAGGAUCCCAGUGUGUUUGUGUGCACUUCUGUCACGUGCUCCGGGCUUUAUCUCAGGAUUUUUACUGAGCGAACAAAAUGGGAAAUUUUACUCCAAGGAUGUGAAAGCAAAUGAACACCCUACAGCAAAGAGGGGAAGAGGAAAGGCUGAAGCAGUCGCCAACUUAUGUGUUCCAGGGUACAGAGGGAAUUACGAAGCCCCUUAGAGCUGGAUAGAGACGUGCAUGCCAGGUCUGGCCAGCAGAGCAGGCGUAUCAGAGGAAUUUGGUGAGAUACUGUCAUGGGCUCACAGAAUCACAGAAUUGUCAGAGUUGGAAGGGACCUUCUAGAGAUCAUCCAGUCCAACUCCCCGGCCAAAGCAGGGUUGCCCAGAGCACAUCACUCAGGAGCAUCCAGGCGGGGCUUGAAGAUCUCCAGAGAAGGGGACUCCACCCCCUCCCUGGGCAGCCUCUGCCAGGGCUCUGCCACCCUCACCCCAAAGUUAUUCCUCAUAUUUUAGUGGAACUUCCCAUGUUCCAGUUUGUGCCCGUUGUCCCUCAUCCUGUCACUGGGAACCACAGAAAAGAGUCUGGCUCCAUCCUCCUUCAACCCACCCUUUAGGUACUUGGAAGCAUGAAUAAGGUCUCCCCUCAGUCUUCUUUUCUCCAGGCUAAAGAGGGGAUGUGUGGGGUGUGCAAAAUUCAGUUCUCUCUCCAACAGAUACAUGGUGAUGAUAUGGUUUUCAGUGGUGCCCAGUGACAGGACAAGAGGUAACUGGCACAAACUGCAACAUAGGAAGUUCCAUCUAAACAUGAGGAGGAACUUCUUUCCUGUGAGGGUGGCAGAGCCCUGGCAGAGGCUGCCCAGGGAGGUGGUGGAGUCUCCUUCUCUGGAGACAUUCCAAAACUACCUGGACACGUUCCUGUCCAACCUGCUCUGGGUGACCCUUCUUCAGCAGGGGUUGGACUAGAUGAUCUCCAGAGGUCCCUUCCAACCCUGACAAUUCUGCCAUAUUCUAACACUACCAGCAGAAACUUCAAUUUUCUGUGUUAAUAGCCUGGCUUUAUAUAAAUUCAAUUAGUUUUUAACAUGUCUGGGAAAGAACUGGUGGCUAUCAAUGAGAGUAUUUCCCAAAGGCGUGAUGUCCAGAUCUAGAUGAGAUCUGUGCUGAUUUGAUGAAAACUACUUGCCCAUCCUGUGCUGGAUUAAUGUCUACUGUGACUACCC